Molecule: long non-coding RNA, 333 nt
Organism: Erinaceus europaeus (western European hedgehog)
Lineage: Eukaryota; Metazoa; Chordata; Mammalia; Eulipotyphla; Erinaceidae
Exons: 3
Source: RefSeq, a predicted model, not a curated record
AGUCAUCUGUACAGCUCGGCUCCUAAACAGGCAAGCAGAGGAACUAAGCCGAUUCUUGGCGGCUUUCAGGAAUUCCGUACACCUCGGGCCCCCAGGAGCCGCCAAGGGCGGGCUGCAGUAGGUGAGCGCUCCCAGAAAACUGCUCAGCUGUGGCAUAUGUAGUAUGGGGUACUGAACCUGGGACUCCUGAAGGUAAGUCACCAGGUUCCAGAUAUCAUCAGGAUGCCUGCCAGGCUUCCCUGGACUGAAGACCCCACCAAUGUGCCCUGGAGCUCCGCUUCCCCAGAGACCCACCCUACUAGGGAAAGAGAGAGGCAGACUGGGAGUAUGGAC